RNAcentral lists this ribosomal RNA (564 nucleotides) under Triticum aestivum (bread wheat). Its description in RNAcentral is "partial small subunit ribosomal RNA". The record is from RNAcentral. Lineage: Eukaryota; Viridiplantae; Streptophyta; Magnoliopsida; Poales; Poaceae.
AUGGUUGUUUACUAUGUUGUUUGCUUCUUUUCGGUGAUGUUUCUUCGGGUUAGUUCCGAUAACGUCGCGUUUGUGAGGAUUCGUUCGACUACGUCUGUUUGUCUUCUUCAUGGACUCGUUCUUCUUCCUUGCGAGAUCUUAGGCAAGAUGAUCAUACCCUCGAAAUCACUUCUAUCUUUACUUGCUAGUUGCUCGCUCUAUUGCUAUGCCGCGAUACCUAUCACUUGCUAUAUCAUGCCUCCCAUAUUGCCAUGUCAAGCCUCUAACCCACCUUUCCUAACAAACCGUUGUUUGGCUAUGUUACCAUUUUACUCAGCCCUUCUUAUAGCGUUGCUAGUUGCAGGUGAAGCUGGAGUUUGUUCCAUGUUGGAACAUGGUUAUUGUUGGGAUAUCACAAUAUCUCUUAUAUUAUUUAAUGCAUCUAUAUACUUGGUAAAGGGUGGAAGGCUCGGCCUUAUGCCUGGUGUUUUGUUCCAUUAUUGCCGCCCUAGUUUUCGUCAUAUUGGUGUUAUGUUCCUUGAUUUUGCGUUCCUUACACGGUUGGGUGUUAUGGGGACCCCUUGA